GAGACCCACGCCAACAGUUGCCAGCAUGUCCUCCGGGAUGGUGGGGACACUGUUGGGACCGCCUCUGCUAAAGAGGAGGAAGGAAUGGGCAACGGUAGGUCAGCAUGCCCCGAAUUAUCCGGGCUACACGCGGGCUACAAUGGUCAGGACAAUGGGUAUCGACACCGAGAGGUGAAGGCAAUCUCUUAAACCUGUCCUUAGUUCGGAUUGUGGGCUGCAACUCGCCCACAUGAAGCUGGAAUCCGUAGUAAUCGCGUCUCAAAAUGGCGCGGUGAAUAU
RNAcentral lists this ribosomal RNA (279 nucleotides) under uncultured archaeon. RNAcentral's name for it is "partial 16S rRNA". It matches the Rfam family "Archaeal small subunit ribosomal RNA", at positions 1047 to 1325 of the family's 1478-position model. The record is from RNAcentral.